GACGAACGCUGGCGGCGUGCUUAACACAUGCAAGUCGAACGGAAAGGCCCUGCUUUUGUGGGGUGCUCGAGUGGCGAACGGGUGAGUAACACGUGAGUAACCUGCCCUUGACUUUGGGAUAACUUCAGGAAACUGGGGCUAAUACCGGAUAGGAGCUCCUGCUGCAUGGUGGGGGUUGGAAAGUGUCGGCGGUUGGGGAUGGACUCGCGGCUUAUCAGCUUGUUGGUGGGGUAGUGGCUUACCAAGGCUUUGACGGGUAGCCGGCCUGAGAGGGUGACCGGCCACAUGGGAAUGGGAUAAAGGCCCAGAUUCCAACGGGAGGGAGCAGUGGGGAAUAUUGAACAAAGGGCGAAGCCUGAUGCAGCAACGCCGCGUGCGGGAUGACGGCCUUCGGGUUGUAAACCGCUUUCGCCUGUGACGAAGCGUGAGUGACGGUAAUGGGUAAAGAAGCACCGGCUAACUACGUG
Molecule: ribosomal RNA, 467 nt
Filed under: uncultured bacterium
Lineage: Bacteria
Description: partial 16S ribosomal RNA
Rfam family: Bacterial small subunit ribosomal RNA
Source: RNAcentral